RNAcentral lists this ribosomal RNA (253 nucleotides) under uncultured bacterium. Its description in RNAcentral is "partial 16S ribosomal RNA". It matches the Rfam family "Bacterial small subunit ribosomal RNA", at positions 524 to 776 of the family's 1533-position model. The record is from RNAcentral.
UACGGGGGGUGCAAGCGUUACUCGGAAUUACUGGGCGUAAAGCGUGCGUAGGUGGUGAGUUAAGUCUGUCGUGAAAGCCCCGGGCUCAACCUGGGAAUGGCGAUGGAUACUGGCUCGCUAGAGUGCGGUAGAGGAGAGUGGAAUUCCCGGUGUAGCAGUGAAAUGCGUAGAGAUCGGGAGGAACAUCAGUUGCGAAGGCGGCUCUCUGGACCAGCACUGACACUGAGGCACGAAAGCGUGGGGAGCGAACGGG